This is a long non-coding RNA of Oryzias latipes (Japanese medaka), 567 nucleotides long. RefSeq lists it as uncharacterized. Lineage: Eukaryota; Metazoa; Chordata; Actinopteri; Beloniformes; Adrianichthyidae. The record is from RefSeq and is a predicted model, not a curated record.
UGUAAACCCGAAUAGUCCAAUGAGCUCAAAAGUUUUAUAAUCACUGAACUCAAAAGUAACAAACAAGUUGAGUCAGCUUAAAACCUUUAAGCCGAUUCAACUUUUGCCACAGUUAUAUCUUUAUUGGACUAAAACAUUUUGAGUAAAUGAAACCUUGGAGUCAAAACUUAUGAGUAAUGAGACGUGAUGACGUCAUAACGUACGUCCAUGAACGUGAACUCAGCCACAGAAGUCUUCAAGAUGGCGGAGGUCUGAUGCGAGUGGCAGCUGGCCCAAGUCGAUAACGCACAUACGUCUAGUGAACCGGCGGUGCGUUUGAAAAAUAAGAGCGGAGAUGUGAGCUGAGUUUCAUCGCAUCACAAAUGUCAACCUGCGAAAACCGUUUUAUUUUGACCUGGACAGACAGACGCCACGGAUGCUGAUCUUAUUGAGACAGAAGGCAGCACGAACCGGAAGGCUCUAUGUGACUUUCUGCACCUCUAUGAUAAACAGGUGAGGUGUAACUGCAUGGCAUGAUCAACAUUAUGCAUUAGUAUAGCUAAAAUAAGGGGCUGACUUGGAUCGGUU